GAUCAAGCGAAUAAGUGCAUGUGGUGGAUGCCUUGGCGAUUACAGGCGAUGAAGGACGUACAAGCCUGCGAAAAGCUCUGGGGAGCUGGCAAUGAAGCUUUGAUCCAGAGAUAUCCGAAUGGGGAAACCCACUCCGCAAGGAGUAUCCCACGCUGAAUAUAUAGGCGUGAGGAAGCGAACCCGGCGAACUGAAACAUCUCAGUAGCCGGAGGAAAAGAAAUCAACCGAGAUUCCCAAAGUAGUGGCGAGCGAAAUGGGAACAGCCUGCAAGUGAUAGCGAUUAGGUUAGCGGAAGCCGCUGGAAAGUGGCGCCAUAGGGGGUGAUAGCCCCGUACGCGAAAACGUGGUCGUGGUACUAAGCUUGCGACAAGUAGGGCGGGGCACGAGAAA
This 390-nucleotide ribosomal RNA is filed under the name Kapaibacterium sp. (SeqCode). RNAcentral describes it as "partial 23S ribosomal RNA". It matches the Rfam family "Bacterial large subunit ribosomal RNA", at positions 1 to 431 of the family's 2925-position model. The record is from RNAcentral. Lineage: Bacteria; Pseudomonadati; Bacteroidota; Eximiradiia; Eximiradiales; Kapaibacteriaceae (SeqCode).